This is a long non-coding RNA of Sinocyclocheilus anshuiensis, 233 nucleotides long. RefSeq lists it as uncharacterized. NCBI's taxonomy places the organism in Eukaryota, Metazoa, Chordata, Actinopteri, Cypriniformes, Cyprinidae. The record is from RefSeq and is a predicted model, not a curated record. The transcript has 3 exons.
UUGUUCUCAUUUAUGACCUUAAAUUCUUCAGAGUGAAAAUGUGCUUUGGUUUUCAUAAACAGCUUGCAAAUACUUUAGUAUCAUAAUUUCUGAACAAAGUACUUGACAUUCCAAAAGCAUUUGAAAACCACAUCAAAACCGUACAAGUACACACACACAACCCUGUACUGCAAAUGCAAAGAGCUGCCGAACCUCCUGAAGGCGCAUUGUGUCAGUUGUGGAGAAUAUUUAAA